UACGUAGGGAGCAAGCGUUGUCCGGAAUUACUGGGCGUAAAGAGCGUGUAGGCGGCCCUUUAAGUCAGAUGUGAAAACUCAGGGCUCAACCCUGAGACUGCAUCUGAUACUGGAGGGCUUGAGUGCAGGAGAGGAAAGUGGAAUUCCUAGUGUAGCGGUGAAAUGCGUAGAUAUUAGGAGGAACACCAGUGGCGAAGGCGACUUUCUGGACUGUAACUGACGCUGAGACGCGAAAGCGUGGGGAGCAAACAGG
This 253-nucleotide ribosomal RNA is filed under the name uncultured bacterium. RNAcentral's name for it is "partial 16S ribosomal RNA". It matches the Rfam family "Bacterial small subunit ribosomal RNA", at positions 524 to 776 of the family's 1533-position model. The record is from RNAcentral.